UACGUUUGUAAAGCGGCGAACGGGUGAGGAAUACAUGGGUAACCUACCCUAGAGUGGGGAAUAACUAGCCGAAAGGUUAGCUAAUACCGCGUACGCUUCUUGGACUUCGGUUCAGGGAGGAAAGCGCUACCGAGGGUAGCGCGCUCUUGGAUGGGCUCAUGUCCUAUCAGCUUGUUGGUGAGGUAAUGGCUCACCAAGGCUUCGACGGGUAGCUGGUCUGAGAGGACGAUCAGCCACACUGGCACUGCGACACGGGCCAGACUCCUACGGGAGGCAGCAGUAAGGAAUAUUGCACAAUGGGCGAAAGCCUGACGCAGCGACGCCGCGUAGGGGAUGAAGGUCUUCGGAUUGUAAACCCCUUUCGGGAGGGAAGAUGGAAUGGGGUAACCCAUUCGGACGGUACCUCCAGAAGCAGCCACGGCUAACUUCGUGCCA
This 435-nucleotide ribosomal RNA is filed under the name uncultured bacterium. RNAcentral's name for it is "bacterial SSU rRNA". It matches the Rfam family "Bacterial small subunit ribosomal RNA", at positions 83 to 510 of the family's 1533-position model. The record is from RNAcentral.